Molecule: non-coding RNA, 352 nt
Filed under: Nematostella vectensis (starlet sea anemone)
Lineage: Eukaryota; Metazoa; Cnidaria; Anthozoa; Actiniaria; Edwardsiidae
Description: Eukaryotic small subunit ribosomal RNA
Rfam family: Eukaryotic small subunit ribosomal RNA
Source: Rfam by way of RNAcentral
UGAAUUUUUACGCACGGCGUCGGAGAGAAACUGCGAAUGGCUCAUUAAAUCAGUUAUCGUUUAUUUGAUUGUACCUUUACCACUUGGAUAACCGUGGUAAUUCUAGAGCUAAUACAUGCGAAAAGUCCCGACUUCUGGAAGGGAUGUAUUUAUUAGAUUCAAAACCAAUGCGGGUUCUGCCCGGUCAUUUGGUGAUUCAUAGUAACUGUUCGAAUCGCAGGGCCUCGCGCCGGCGAUGUUUCAUUCAAAUUUCUGCCCUAUCAACUGUCGAUGGUAAGGUGUUGGCUUACCAUGGUUACAACGGGUGACGGAGAAUUAGGGUUCGAUUCCGGAGAGGGAGCCUGAGAAACGC